RNAcentral lists this ribosomal RNA (253 nucleotides) under uncultured bacterium. RNAcentral describes it as "partial 16S ribosomal RNA". It matches the Rfam family "Bacterial small subunit ribosomal RNA", at positions 524 to 776 of the family's 1533-position model. The record is from RNAcentral.
UACAGAGGUCUCAAGCGUUGUUCGGAUUCCUUGGGCGUAAAGGGUGCGUAGGUGGCGCCAUAAGUCGGGUGUGAAAUCUCGGGGCUUAACUCCGAAACUGCAUUCGAUACUGUGGUGCUUGAGGACUGGAGAGGAGACUGGAAUUCAUGGUGUAGCAGUGAAAUGCGUAGAGAUCAUGAGGAAGACCAGUGGCGAAGGCGGGUCUCUGGACAGUUUCUGACACUGAUGCGCGACAGCGUGGGGAGCAAACAGG